UACGGAGGGUGCAAGCGUUUAAUCGGAAUUACUGGGCGUAAAGCGUGCGUAGGUGGUUCGUUAAGUCCGUUGUGAAAGCCCCGAGCUCAACUUGGGAAUUGCAGUGGAUACUGGCGAGCUAGAGUGCGGUAGAGGAAGGUGGAAUUCCCGGUGUAGCGGUGAAAUGCGUAGAGAUCGGGAGGAACACCAGUGGCGAAGGCGGCUCACUGGACCGGUAUUGACGCUGAGGUGCGAAAGCGUGGGGAGCAAACAGGG
This 255-nucleotide ribosomal RNA is filed under the name uncultured bacterium. RNAcentral describes it as "partial 16S ribosomal RNA". It matches the Rfam family "Bacterial small subunit ribosomal RNA", at positions 524 to 777 of the family's 1533-position model. The record is from RNAcentral.